UCCGGCUUAACACCGGCAGUCCCUCUAGAGUGCUCAGCUUAACCUGGUGGCAAUUAGAGGCAAGGGUUGCGCUCGUUGCGGGACUUAACCCAACAUCUCACGACACGAGCUGACGACAGCCAUGCAGCACCUGGACACCUCGCUCCCCGAAGGGCACCUCUACGUUUCUGCAGAGUUCGAGGGGGUUCUAACCCAGGUAAGGUUCUUCGCGUUGCGUCGAAUUGAACCACAUACUCCACCGCUUGUGCGGGCCCCCGUCAAUUCCUUUGAGUUUCAGCCUUGCGGCCGUACUCCCCAGGCGGGGCACUUAAUGCGUUAGCGCCGGCACCCAGGGGGUCGCUCCCCCAGGCACCUAGUGCCCAUCGUUUACGGCGUGGACUAC
This 382-nucleotide unclassified non-coding RNA is filed under the name uncultured bacterium. RNAcentral's name for it is "contains 16S-23S intergenic spacer region". The record is from RNAcentral.